UGACAAGGACUGGUUUGCCAUGGGUUGUU
This 29-nucleotide non-coding RNA is filed under the name Mus musculus (house mouse). Lineage: Eukaryota; Metazoa; Chordata; Mammalia; Rodentia; Muridae. The record is from RNAcentral.